RNAcentral lists this unclassified non-coding RNA (326 nucleotides) under fungal sp. RNAcentral describes it as "partial internal transcribed spacer region". The stretch from base 1 to 46 matches the Rfam family "Eukaryotic small subunit ribosomal RNA", at positions 1786 to 1831 of the family's 1831-position model. Lineage: Eukaryota; Fungi. The record is from RNAcentral.
AAGUCGUAACAAGGUAACCGUAGGUGAACCUGCGGUUGGAUCAUUACAGAGAAAAUGAGGAGAUCGAGCGAAAGAAGGAAGCUUCUUUUGCAAGACUCGGAACAAGCAAACUUUAUGUGAACUGUGCUGUCCCUGGCGGCUGGGCAAAGGUGGGCAUGCUCCGUGUGGGGCCAUGCCUCUCUUGCCUGUCAGCUUAUUGCGCCCUUGUGGCGUGUGAGCCGUGGACAAACCGCCAACCGUUUGAACAUGUCUUGGGGCUGUUUUUGACUGAUUAGUUUCGUUUUAACGAGAACAUACAACUUUUGGCAACGGAUCUCUUGGCUCUC